GACGAAGGGGGCUAGCGUUGUUCGGAAUUACUGGGCGUAAAGCGAGUGUAGGUGGUUGUCCAAGUUGGAUGUGAAAGCCUUGAGCUCAACUCAAGAAAUGCAUUCAGGACUGGGCGACUAGAGGACCGGAGAGGAUAGUGGAAUUCCCAGUGUAGUGGUGAAAUGCGUAGAUAUCGGGAGGAACACCAGUGGCGAAGGCGACUACCUGGCCUGUUCUUGACGCUGAGGCGCGAAAGCUGGGGGAGCAAACGGG
This 253-nucleotide ribosomal RNA is filed under the name uncultured bacterium. RNAcentral describes it as "partial 16S ribosomal RNA". It matches the Rfam family "Bacterial small subunit ribosomal RNA", at positions 524 to 776 of the family's 1533-position model. The record is from RNAcentral.